GGGCAGGUAGCUCAGUCGGUACGAGCGCUCGCCUGAAAAGUGAGAGGUCGGCGGUUCGACCCCGCCCCUGCCCACCC
This 77-nucleotide transfer RNA is filed under the name Blastococcus saxobsidens DD2. RNAcentral's name for it is "tRNA-Phe". It matches the Rfam family "tRNA". Rfam says of the family: Transfer RNA (tRNA) molecules are approximately 80 nucleotides in length. RNAcentral also lists the same sequence under 4 other names. The record is from RNAcentral. Lineage: Bacteria; Bacillati; Actinomycetota; Actinomycetes; Geodermatophilales; Geodermatophilaceae.